Molecule: ribosomal RNA, 535 nt
Filed under: Pseudomonas costantinii
Lineage: Bacteria; Pseudomonadati; Pseudomonadota; Gammaproteobacteria; Pseudomonadales; Pseudomonadaceae
Description: bacterial SSU rRNA
Rfam family: Bacterial small subunit ribosomal RNA
Source: RNAcentral
CACUGCAGUCGAGCGGUAGAGAGAAGCUUGCUUCUCUUGAGAGCGGCGGACGGGUGAGUAAUGCCUAGGAAUCUGCCUGGUAGUGGGGGAUAACGUUCGGAAACGGACGCUAAUACCGCAUACGUCCUACGGGAGAAAGCAGGGGACCUUCGGGCCUUGCGCUAUCAGAUGAGCCUAGGUCGGAUUAGCUAGUUGGUGAGGUAAUGGCUCACCAAGGCGACGAUCCGUAACUGGUCUGAGAGGAUGAUCAGUCACACUGGAACUGAGACACGGUCCAGACUCCUACGGGAGGCAGCAGUGGGGAAUAUUGGACAAUGGGCGAAAGCCUGAUCCAGCCAUGCCGCGUGUGUGAAGAAGGUCUUCGGAUUGUAAAGCACUUUAAGUUGGGAGGAAGGGCAGUUGCCUAAUACGUAACUGUUUUGACGUUACCGACAGAAUAAGCACCGGCUAACUCUGUGCCAGCAGCGCGGUAAUACAGAGGGUGCAAGCGUUAAUCGGAAUUACUGGGCGUAAAGCGCGCGUAGGUGGUUUGUUA